RNAcentral lists this ribosomal RNA (563 nucleotides) under Fusarium sp. T4519-1-1. Its description in RNAcentral is "eukaryotic LSU rRNA". It matches the Rfam family "Eukaryotic large subunit ribosomal RNA", at positions 62 to 648 of the family's 3401-position model. The record is from RNAcentral. Lineage: Eukaryota; Fungi; Ascomycota; Sordariomycetes; Hypocreales; Nectriaceae.
AAACCAACAGGGAUUGCCCCAGUAACGGCGAGUGAAGCGGCAACAGCUCAAAUUUGAAAUCUGGCUCUCGGGCCCGAGUUGUAAUUUGUAGAGGAUGCUUUUGGUGAGGUGCCUUCCGAGUUCCCUGGAACGGGACGCCACAGAGGGUGAGAGCCCCGUCUGGUUGGACACCGAGCCUCUGUAAAGCUCCUUCGACGAGUCGAGUAGUUUGGGAAUGCUGCUCUAAAUGGGAGGUAUAUGUCUUCUAAAGCUAAAUACCGGCCAGAGACCGAUAGCGCACAAGUAGAGUGAUCGAAAGAUGAAAAGAACUUUGAAAAGAGAGUUAAACAGUACGUGAAAUUGUUGAAAGGGAAGCGCUUGUGACCAGACUUGGGCUUGGUUGAUCAUCCGGGGUUCUCCCCGGUGCACUCUUCCGGCUCAGGCCAGCAUCAGUUCGCCCUGGGGGAUAAAGGCAGCGGGAAUGUGGCUCUCUCCGGGGAGUGUUAUAGCCCGCUGCGUAAUACCCUGUGGCGGACUGAGGUUCGCGCAUUCGCAAGGAUGCUGGCGUAAUGGUCAUCAGUGAC